AGACACAAGACAAUUUGGUUACCCAGUUCCCUUAUCGGAACCAGAGAAGAGAUUUCACCAACGCUAGAAAACACUGUAAUCUCCUUGCAACACAACCUGAUCAGCACUUGAGUGUAUUUAAAGGGCAAUGGAGCUGCUGUCAUGGGCUUCGUAGAAGACUUGACCCAAGACUUAAUUGUUGAAGUCGUAUGGGCUUUAACUCUUGAAUGCAGCCCACUUGUUUUGGACCCAAUAGAGUCUUGGCCCUCUUUGUCUGAAUUGAGACAACCAAACCCUUCAAUCUCCACCUUUGUCUUCGAUUCAGCUCAGCUCCGGUUUCAUCGCCUCCUGAUCUCACUCAGUCUCCAAACCUCUUCGAGUUUUAACCGAUCUGGGCUUCACGAUGCUUCCGCUAAUCUUACGACAUCAUCUCCUCUGUCAGCUUUACCGAUGACAGAUCAUGAUUUUCAUCUUUCCUAUCGCUCACAACUCUACCUUGCGAACUGCUCAACCGUUUCCGUUUAGCCACGAUUUCUGAUUGAUCCUCUAAUUUGAAGAAUCGUCGACUAUUCUUCUGCCCUUAGUAGUUCCAAUUUUGAUGAUCGAACCCAGACCCAUGUGCCUCUCAGUUUGACCACUGACGACACGUAGUACCUUGACUCUCUCACUUAACCUCAACACUGUAACUCUCACUGAUUCAGUAGUUUCAGAGAAUCCAGACUUCAAGACGGUAGAAUUUCAGUUUUAGUAAUUACCGAUACUGAUACACCUCAAUAUCUGUUUCAUGUCCAUUGUGAGAUUAUCAAAUCGACCAAGAUCAAUCUCUGGACUUCCUUUGCUGACUUAUGCUGAGACGUUCAGAAGUGCCAGGCACUUCUCAAAACUGUUACCAGGUGCGAAGAUUUCAUUGUAGUCUACCCCUUCGAUCUGCGUGAAACCUUUUGCUACAAGUCGGGCUUUGUACCUUGGAUCUUCCACACCAGGUUGCAGAAUUCAAGUCCGUUGUCAGUCCUGAGGCACUUAAUCUUCUUCUUGGUUUGGUUUUCAACCAGGUUUUUCCACUCCGAGAAGUGAUCAAAGACCUCAUCCUUGCUUCUCUGAAAUCGUAUCCAUACCUUUCGUGAGAAGUCAUCUAUGAACGUGAGGAAGUACUUGCAUCCUGACAGGCUUGGUUCAUUCCAGACAGAUCCCCAUAAGUCGCUGUGGAUGUAUUCCAACACACUGGUAGAUGUGUGUCUUCCCUCAGGGAAACUUUGCUUGUGAGUCUUCCCAAACACGCAUUCCUCGCAAAAGUCUAACGUGUGUACUUCCUUCGAGCUCAGCCGUUUUUCUCUAGUUGGCCAUAGGAGAUGAGGUUUCUGCCCAUGGUUGGCAUGUACCUCACUUCACUCAAGAUCACCGUUGAGCCAUCAGGGUUUAAGAUCUUAAGCUUUCCUAUGCCUUUGACUUCACUGUGGGUGUUGUUACCCAUCAAGACCUUUCCACCGUCUAUCUCUUUGAAGUCAAACACUUCCGUCUGCUUGUAAUUCUUCUUAUCAGGACAAUCUCGUUUGUAGUGUCCCUCCUUUCCACAUGUCCAGCAUUCACGAGGUUUCUGCGCGCCCCUAGGUCUCGACUUGGACCUAGCAUCUUUGCUCUUGGGCCGGUUCUUCCAGUGAGGGUCAGAGUCUCUUUACCGUUGCCAUAUUUCAGAGUAUGUACCAGUGAGUCGUACUGCUUAGGUAGGCUUGACAACACCUGCACUGCCUGAUCUUCGUCGCUCACUGUGAUGCUCAGACUUUCCAGAUCAUCAACCAAUCUGAGAAACACAUCCAUUUAACUCACCAGGAGGAAGUACUGGUUUCUUCCCGUCUUCGUCAUCCUUAAGUGCACCCUUUUCAGAUGACGAACUUGACUUGUCCUCCAUGAGGACACUGUCCAAUCCAGAGUUCUCAAGCUGCAUCUGCAUCUUGAAUUUCCACAUCCCGAAGUCUCCUUUACCAUCAAACUUCUCGACAUCAAUCUUGAUUCGAGUGUUGUGCAUGGUUACACACCAGAUCUCCCUUAUGUGAUCACACCAACUUGCAGGUCAGAAACUGAUACCGUAUCCUCUGCUUCACCCGGUGCUCUGAUACCACUUGUGAGACACAAGACAAUUUGGUUACCCAGUUCCCUUAUCGGAACCAGAGAAGAGAUUUCACCAACGCUAGAAAACACUGUAAUCUCCUUGCAACACAACCUGAUCAGCACUUGAGUGUAUUUAAAGGGCAAUGGAGCUGCUGUCAUGGGCUUCGUAGAAGACUUGACCCAAGACUUAAUUGUUGAAGUCGUAUGGGCUUUAACUCUUGAAUGCAGCCCACUUGUUUUGGACCCAAUAGAGUCUUGGCCCUCUUUGUCUGAAUUGAGACAACCAAACCCUUCAUGACAGCCUUAAGGGAUGUAUUGCUACACCAUUUUGCGCAGACUUUAUGCAUCCCCAUCUUCCAAAUCUCGUUUCCUGCCAUAUCCAUAUGACAAACACACACAGUUUUGAGAUUAGCCUUCACAAGAAACAAACAAACAGAGAACAAAUAAAGAAAAAAAGGAAGCGGACAAGAGAGGAUGAUCACAUACCUGUCCAACACCAGCAACCAGAAAUUUACCGGAUUUUGCAAAAGCCAUGGAGUUCACAAACCCAGUCUGGAACAUGAUAAAAUAAACAUUGCCUGUUCUUUUCUUGGACGCGGCGUCAGCUAGUGCGUCAGAGAAAUAUACACAACAAACUAGGAAAAAUAAAUGGUGGAGAAGAAACAAGUUGUCGCUGCGUUUACUUUUUACGAAGCCUGCCGGUGUUUUCCGCGACGUUCCUUGACGCUGUGUAAAAUAUCGGCAAUUAAACGAGACUUUCCGUGACGCUGCGUCUAAUUUUAUAGUGGAAACGAUGGCUGCCAGCGGUGUUCUCCACAAACUAGGAUAAAAAGUCAGUUAUAAUUUUGGUGGCUCACUGCUGAUACUGCGUCAGUGAAAAAAACAGGCCUAUGUUGCAAUUCUU
Raphanus sativus (radish) is the source of this 2989-nucleotide long non-coding RNA. RefSeq lists it as uncharacterized. Lineage: Eukaryota; Viridiplantae; Streptophyta; Magnoliopsida; Brassicales; Brassicaceae. The transcript has 16 exons. The record is from RefSeq and is a predicted model, not a curated record.